Molecule: ribosomal RNA, 254 nt
Filed under: uncultured bacterium
Lineage: Bacteria
Description: partial 16S ribosomal RNA
Rfam family: Bacterial small subunit ribosomal RNA
Source: RNAcentral
UACGUAGGUGACCAGCGUUGUCCGGAUUUACUGGGCGUAAAGAGCGCGCAGGCGGUCGUUCAAGUCGAGUGUGAAAGCCCCCGGCUCAACUGGGGAGGGUCACUCGAUACUGAUCGACUUGAAGGCAGGAGAGGGAAGCGGAAUUCCCGGUGUAGUGGUGAAAUGCGUAGAUAUCGAGAGGAACACCGGUGGCGAAGGCGGCCAACUGGACGAAUACUGACGCUGAGACACGAAAGCGUGGGGAGCAAACAGGG